GAUGAACGCUGGCGGCGUGCCUAACACAUGCAAGUCGAGCGAACGGACGAGAAGCUUGCUUCUUAGUUGUUAGCGGAGGACGGGUGUGUAACACGUGGAUAACCUACCUAUAUGCCUGGGAUAACUUCGGGAAACCGGAGCUAAUCCCGGAUAAUAUUUUGAACCGCAUGGUUCAAAAGUGAAAGACGGUCUUGCUGUCACUUAUAGACGGUUACGUGCUGCAUUAGCUAGUUGGUAAGGUAACGGUCUACCAAGGCAACGAAGGAUAGCCGACGGGAGAGGGUGAUCGGCCACACUGGAACUGGGACACGCACCAGGCUCCUACGGGAGGCAGCAGUAGGGAAUCGUACGCAGUAGGCGGAAACCUGACAGAACAGCGCCACGUGUGUGAUGGAGGUCUUGGGAUCGUAAAGCUCUGUUAUGAGUGAAAAACAUAUGUGUAAAUAGCUGUACACAUCUUGACGGUACCUAGUCAAGAAGCCACGGCUAACUACGUG
This 497-nucleotide ribosomal RNA is filed under the name uncultured bacterium. RNAcentral's name for it is "partial 16S ribosomal RNA". It matches the Rfam family "Bacterial small subunit ribosomal RNA", at positions 28 to 507 of the family's 1533-position model. The record is from RNAcentral.